Molecule: transfer RNA, 73 nt
Filed under: Paramuricea clavata
Lineage: Eukaryota; Metazoa; Cnidaria; Anthozoa; Malacalcyonacea; Plexauridae
Rfam family: tRNA
About the family: Transfer RNA (tRNA) molecules are approximately 80 nucleotides in length.
Source: Rfam by way of RNAcentral
GACCGCGUAGCUCAGUUGGAAGAGCAUUGGGUUAGUAUUCCAAAGGUCGUAGGUUCGAAUCCCACCGUGGCUG